RNAcentral lists this ribosomal RNA (163 nucleotides) under Phaseolus coccineus. RNAcentral's name for it is "5.8S ribosomal RNA". It matches the Rfam family "5.8S ribosomal RNA". From Rfam's summary of the family: 5.8S ribosomal RNA (5.8S rRNA) is a component of the large subunit of the eukaryotic ribosome. It is transcribed by RNA polymerase I as part of the 45S precursor that also contains 18S and 28S rRNA. Functionally, it is thought that 5.8S rRNA may be involved in ribosome translocation. The record is from RNAcentral. Lineage: Eukaryota; Viridiplantae; Streptophyta; Magnoliopsida; Fabales; Fabaceae.
AAAUGACUCUCGGCAACGGAUAUCUCGGCUCUUGCAUCGAUGAAGAACGCAGCGAAAUGCGAUACUUGGUGUGAAUUGCAGAAUCCCGUGAACCAUCGAGUCUUUGAACGCAAGUUGCGCCCAAAGCCAUUAGGCYGAGGGCACGCCUGCCUGGGUGUCACAC